GGAGAAGAUGGAAGAAGAUGACCUCCAGCACAGAGAGAAGGUUCACACAGACUGUCUGGAAGUUCUUCUCCAGUCAACAUGCUGAGGUGGUUCUGCUCCAUGUUUGUGGUUCUGGACCUUCUAUCAGGUGUCUGUGUUGGACGACUGACUCCAGCCAUGGUCCAAGAGUCAUAUGAAGAAGGCAGAGCUGUCACUCUGUCCUGCACCAUCUCUCCUCCUGCUUCUCCCCAGGACUACCUCUCCUGGUACCGACAGCACCCUGGAGGAUCACUGGAACUUCUGGUAUCUCACUAUGCGAGGGAAAGAGAAGUCAAGUCUCCAGUCUCUGGCUUCACUCCUGGAGUGACGGCUGAUAGAAACCAGAUGGAGCUGAAGAUCAAGUCUGCUGCAGUGACGGACUCUGCUGUCUACUUCUGUGCUCUG
Synchiropus splendidus (mandarinfish) is the source of this 423-nucleotide non-coding RNA. NCBI's taxonomy places the organism in Eukaryota, Metazoa, Chordata, Actinopteri, Syngnathiformes, Callionymidae. The record is from the annotation of a RefSeq genome assembly.